UUGAUGGAUAGUUCACAUUAAAAUUUAACAUCUGUUGCCAGUACUGAUGUGAAUUUUCCAUUUCAUCCAUCUUGCAGGAAUUCAACACCUGCGAGUCGAACGUCUUUUACGAUUGCGACGAAGAAAAGUGAUGCAUCCAGCAGACAUUUGACUCCCAUUCCAGUACGCAGUGCAGACAAAAAAGGUUGUGUUUCGAGCAGAAGUAAUGACUGAUUAAAAGGAGAAUGACAACCACACAAGUUCCCAUUCACUCCCAACAGAAGAAUAAAAUCCACAUGUGGAUAAAAUUUUGCUAGAAUUUCUG
Long non-coding RNA from Phyllopteryx taeniolatus (common seadragon), 304 nucleotides. RefSeq lists it as uncharacterized. The record is from RefSeq and is a predicted model, not a curated record. NCBI's taxonomy places the organism in Eukaryota, Metazoa, Chordata, Actinopteri, Syngnathiformes, Syngnathidae. The transcript has 3 exons.